This 929-nucleotide long non-coding RNA is filed under the name Monodelphis domestica (gray short-tailed opossum). RNAcentral's name for it is "lncRNA (ENSMODG00000034692.2)". The record is from RNAcentral. Lineage: Eukaryota; Metazoa; Chordata; Mammalia; Didelphimorphia; Didelphidae.
UCCCCCCCUCCCUCUCCCCACCUCUUCCCCCCCUUCCUCCCUCCCUCUCUGCCCAUCUGUCUGUCUUUCUCCCCCAUCAUAUAUAUAUAUAUACUCCUGUAUAUGUGAAUAUACUAUAUAUUUUUUUCUUCAUAUAUAUCUAUAUAUAUCUGAGCUCUUCCAGCAGUCUGGAUUAGAUGCCGAUUUCUUCAUCCCAGGGACCCAUCUCUGUGCCUUUAUCUCUGCCCACCUUUCACACUGUGAGAUGUGGGGGAAAGGAUUUCCCUACAGAAUGUAAACCACCUUUUAGUCCUUUUAGUCCUGUUCCAGUGGCUUGAGGAAAAGAGUACACCAGGAGCCCCCUGCCAGACUCCAUUUCCCCAGAUCCCUUUUCCCAUUUUUGCCCAGUCUUUUAGCCGCCUACCCUCCAGUCGUGGACCCAGCUCUGAGGCUUUGUGGGUAAUCUACAAGUAUGCCCAGCUUUGCUCAAAACAAGUUCUACUGGAAAGAUGGGAACAAACCAGCGAGAGGGAAAGAAGGAGGGACUGCCUCGUAGCCCUGAAAUGCACGCUGCACUUCCAUCUGUCCACUUGGCCACCUGCUUCUCUCUCAUCGGUGCCAAGUCCUGCCAGCAUCGGCAGGGUCACGUUGGUAGGGAGAGAGAUGUCUGGGGGCAAGUGAGACCUUCGACUCCACUGAAGCAUUCCUCAGCUGAUGGUACACGUCUCUUAGAUGAGAUCUUUUAUGUUACUUCUUACCUGCCAUAUGUCAUUGUCUACGAAUGGCCAGCAGGCACUUCUCUGCCCAUCGCUGAAUGCCCUGUGAUCUGCAUUUCUUCAGAGUCUCUUGCAUUCUGUGACUCACAUCAUAUAGCAUCACCAGGAGAAUAUUGGUUUUUAACCAUCUCAUCCUUUGUUUCAAGAGAAGCUCAAGGAUCCACUAAAGAGUGA